This 405-nucleotide unclassified non-coding RNA is filed under the name uncultured Rhizophagus. RNAcentral describes it as "sequence contains 28S rRNA gene". Lineage: Eukaryota; Fungi; Glomeromycota; Glomeromycetes; Glomerales; Glomeraceae. The record is from RNAcentral.
AGUUAAACAGUACGUGAAAUUGUUGAAAGGGAAACGAUUGAAGCCAGUCGUACCUAUGGGUAAUCAGCCUUUUGGGUGUGAUUUUGUGGAGCGUGAAGAGUUAAACGCCUUCAUGCCUGCAUAUUCGUGCACUUUGGGUGUACUUGCCCGUGUGUAAGUUAACAUCAAUUUUGGUGGUCAUAAAAUGGCUGGAGGAAUGUAGCUUCGAUCUUGUAUUGAAGUGUUAUAGCCUUCGGUAGAUGUGACGAUCGGGAUUGAGGAUUGCAACGGAUACCCUUCGGGGCUACCUGUCUGAUCUCUGAUUGUUGCUCUGGUACUGAAAGCUUGCUUACGGUUAUCAAAGUCGAUGGUCAAUAGGUUAGAACGGGUUAAAUUCGUUAAGGAUGUUGACGUAAUGGCUUUAAA